GCAAGUCGAACGGACCGUACACGUAGCUUGCUGCGUGUAUGGUUAGUGGCAGACGGGUGAGUAAUGCAUAGGAAUCUGCCUAGUAGUAUAGGAUAGCCACUAGAAGUGGUGGGUAAUACUGUAUAAUCCCUGCGGGGGAAAGAUUUAUCGCUACAUGAUGAGCCUAUGUUAGAUUAGCUAGUUGGUGGGGUAAUGGCCUACCAAGGCAGUGAUCUAUAGCUGGUCUGAGAGGAUGAUCAGCCACACUGGAACUGAGACACGGUCCAGACUCCUACGGGAGGCAGCAGUGGGGAAUAUUGGACAAUGGGCGCAAGCCUGAUCCAGCUAUGCCGCGUGAGUGAGGAAGGCCUUAGGGUUGUAAAACUCUUUCAGUGGGGAAGAUAAUGACGGUACCCACAGAAAAAGUCCCGGCAAACUC
This 418-nucleotide ribosomal RNA is filed under the name Anaplasma phagocytophilum. Its description in RNAcentral is "bacterial SSU rRNA". It matches the Rfam family "Bacterial small subunit ribosomal RNA", at positions 57 to 503 of the family's 1533-position model. Lineage: Bacteria; Pseudomonadati; Pseudomonadota; Alphaproteobacteria; Rickettsiales; Anaplasmataceae. The record is from RNAcentral.